This 210-nucleotide long non-coding RNA is filed under the name Mytilus galloprovincialis (Mediterranean mussel). The record is from RNAcentral. Lineage: Eukaryota; Metazoa; Mollusca; Bivalvia; Mytilida; Mytilidae.
UUUGAAUUUUUUGAAAUACUAAGGCUUUUCUACCUCAGGCAUAGAUUACCUUAGCUGUAUUUGGCAAAACUUUUAGGACUUUUGGUUCUCAAUGCUCUUCAACUUCGUACUUUAUUUGGCUUUUUAAACUUUUUUGGAUUCGAGCGUCACUGAUGAGUCUUUUGUAGACGAAACGCGCGUCUGGCGUAUAUACUAAAUUUAGUCCUGGUA